This 917-nucleotide ribosomal RNA is filed under the name uncultured bacterium. RNAcentral's name for it is "bacterial SSU rRNA". It matches the Rfam family "Bacterial small subunit ribosomal RNA", at positions 11 to 915 of the family's 1533-position model. The record is from RNAcentral.
GUUUGAUCCUGGCUCAGAUUGAACGCUGGCGGAAUGCUUUACACAUGCAAGUCGAACGGCAGCACGGGUGCUUGCACCUGGUGGCGAGUGGCGAACGGGUGAGUAAUGCGUCGGAACGUACCGAGUAAUGGGGGAUAACGCAGCGAAAGUUGUGCUAAUACCGCAUACGCCCUGAGGGGGAAAGUGGGGGAUCGUAAGACUCACGUUAUUCGAGCGGCCGACGUCUGAUUAGCUAGUUGGUGGGGUAAAGGCCUACCAAGGCGACGAUCAGUAGCGGGUCUGAGAGGAUGAUCCGCCACACUGGGACUGAGACACGGCCCAGACUCCUACGGGAGGCAGCAGUGGGGAAUUUUGGACAAUGGGGGCAACCCUGAUCCAGCCAUUCCGCGUGAGUGAAGAAGGCCUUCGGGUUGUUAAAGCUCUUUUCAGCUGGAACGAAACGGUCCGCUCUUAACAUAGCGGGCUAAUGACGGUACCAGCAGAAGAAGCACCGGCUAACUACGUGCCAGCAGCCGCGGUAAUACGUAGGGUGCGAGCGUUUAAUCGGAAUUACUGGGCGUAAAGCGUGCGCAGGCGGUUUUGUAAGCCAGAUGUGAAAGCCCCGGGCUCAACCUGAGAAAUGGCAUUUGGGACUGCAAGGCUUGAGUGCGGCAGAGGAGACUUGGAAUUCCUGGUGUAGCAGUGGAAAUGCGUAGAUAUCAGGAGGAAUACCGAUGGCGAAGGCAGGUCUCUGGGCUGACACUGACGCUCAUGCACGAAAGCGUGGGGAGCAAACAGGAUUAGAUACCCUGGUAGUCCACGCCCUAAACGAUGUCGACUGGUUGUUGGGGGUUUGACACUCUCAGUAACGAAGCUAACGCGUGAAGUCGACCGCCUGGGGAGUACGGCCGCAAGGUUAAAACUCAAAGGAAUUGACG